This 5911-nucleotide long non-coding RNA is filed under the name Sus scrofa (pig). Its description in RNAcentral is "lncRNA (ENSSSCG00015047521.1)". The record is from RNAcentral. Lineage: Eukaryota; Metazoa; Chordata; Mammalia; Artiodactyla; Suidae.
CAAGAAAAUGUGUCGGAACAUUUUUGUCCUUCAGCAGAAUUUGACCAACAUCACCAUGUCACGGGAGGCAGACCUGGAUUUUGCAAGAGCCUCCAAAGAAUGAGCCAAUGAAUGAAGGACUGAAUGAGACAGAAACUGCUAGCGACACCUACCAGGCAGUACUACGAGAUGCUCUACAACACGGCCGAUGAGCUCCUGAACCUGGUGGUGGACCAGGGCGUGAAGUACACGGAGCUGGAGUACAUCCACGCCCUGACCUUGCUGCACCGCAGCCAGACGGGGGUGGGAGACCAGACCACCCAGAACAUGCGGCUUCAGCGGCUCAAGGAGAUCAUCUGCGAGCAGGCGGCCAUCAAGCAAGCCACCAAGGAUAAGAAGAUAACUACAGUGUAACCGCCGCCCCGUGGAAGGGGGACAGGGGGACGGCUUGUUUUUGUCUCCUUAGUCAUACUCCUUUCUGGCUGUGUUAUUGGGUGUAGUCUGAGCUGACUUAGUUUUCUCGACACGGAUGCUCAAGUGGAGAGAAGGUAGAAGGAUUUUUUUUUUUUUUUUCCGCUUUGGUUUUGGCUUUUCAUAUAAACUCUCAAGGGAAUUUGCAGUACAGAAUGUUGGGAUCGACCGUUUAUUGGAAUGCCGUCCAUUGCAAAGGGUCCGGGGGUGGGAUGGGAAGGAAGGUUGUAUGACAUUGGACUCAGAACAAGAUGCAUGCACGAUUACUAAUGCCCAGCCGUUUCGGAUAAGUAUAGAUUGUUGCCUAUGUAAACCUCUCAAUAGGGUUCUAUUACAUAAACAGUAGGGUUUUUAUGCUCUUGACCUUGUCCAUUGACAGUUCAGUGAAGCAAGUGCAUGUGCAUUGCUUUCUGUCACCAGGGCCCAUGGCUUCUCAGCUGGCGGUAGUUUUCAGCAAAUUUCCCCUUUGGGGCUGGGGGGAGGAAGUCCUCUUAUGUCAGACCUUGGGAGAGUCUUGUAUGCAGUAGCCUGGACACAGCUUAUGGAUUGGUUUGAUGCCUUUUUGUUUUUAUUUCUACUGUCUCAAAACUGAGAACCAGGAAAUGAAUGAUGAAAAUGCAAGAACAAAAGGUAAUUCAACCCUCUUCCUGAUUUUUUCCUCUACUCUCCAAGAGAAAAUGAUUGUUAGAGAAUUUUUAAUCUCACUGGAAAGAUUGUCUGGGUGUGACUGGUUCUUAAAUGCUCACCCUCCUUAUAAGCCCCAGGGUCUUUUUUUCUUUUUUUUUCUUUUUGUCUGUUUCUUUCUUGCAUGUGUGUGUGUACUUUUUUUUUUUUAACAUAUUUGUUGAAUUAACAUAUAGUUGAUUUACAGUGUUGUACCAAUUUCACCCAAGGUCUUUCUCACCUUAGAAGGUACCCAAACUGGGUGCAGGGAAGGUAAAACCACCACGAUAUCCUUCCUCUGUGCAGCCACCAGCUGAGGAUGUUUCUGAGGUAUACUGGGCUGGCGUGGGAGCACGCUGCUCCUGGCACAUUUGCCUUCCCCACUGACCCCACAUCUCCAAGCCUUCUUGCUGCCUCUGGCUGUCAUAUCACAGAAGAAAGCAAUGCACUGACUGGGACACAGCUUGCAAACACGGGCAAGGGAGAGCUGAAAGGACUCGGACCAGAUGAGGUCAUGCCUCAUGCUCUGAUGGUCCAGAAUUUCGCACCUGUUUGUUCAACUUAGGUCUUGGUGGGAAAAGCAGAAAAUUAAAAAAUGUUUCGAGAAGCGUAGGUGUCGUGUAUUGUUUUUCUUGUGUUUAUUCAGCAAACAUUCCCUGAGAGCCUUACCCAAUGCUGCUGGACGUGGGAGCAGAAAUAAGAUAAUGAGAACACUCUUUCCACCUACAUCGAAGACAGCAUGGGAUCUGGACUCUGACCUAGAUCCCAAGAGGUGUGCACUUGGGGCUGGGUUGGAAAUCAAGCCAGUGGGGUAGCUGUGUAGGGACUUCAGCAGCUGCAGCUGGAGGACAGUCUUCCAGGGGGUUCUGGAAGGAAUGUUGUAAAUCUAUGUGGUGUCAGAGGCCCAGGUGGGAAGAAUUUGAAUCUGUGUGGGAGACCAUCAUGGAAAAAUGUCCUAAGCAGCAUUGCUGGAGGUGAUCUCCCUGGAAGUGGGGCGGGAGGCGGGAGACAGGGGGAGGUCAGUGCUGAUCGCCGUGGCCGUGGCCUGUGCCCAGAGCUUCCGUGCCUUGCCCCUGCCCUCUUCUGUCCUCCCUAGAAAAACAACCUUGGAGUGGUGACAGGGAGGCCAGAAGAGCCAGGGGUGGGCUGGGGGAGUUUAUAGGAGCAUUUUAUUGGCUCUGGAAAGGGAUGUGGGUUUUGACAGUCAAAGGCCAAGAUCACUGAGAACCAGCGGACAAAUGGUGAACAUGCUGCUUCAAGAGAUCAUUUCGGAAAGUAGACUCCCCGCUUUGCUUAUAGUAAUGACGGGAUUGAAAAAUGGUGAUUCUGCACAGAAAAAACAAUCUAGAGUUCUUUUUCCAAGACCUUCAAGGCCCACAUUUCUAUGCAAGAUGGUACAUCCGUCAUUAUUCGCCAACUGAUCAGGAAUAGCCAUUGCCACAGUCCGUGGGUGGUCAGGUGGAUGGAGAUGGCACAGCCACCUCAGGACCUGCCUUCCCUGGGGACACAGUGAGGAUUUCUUCUUGUUAUGGUCCUAGUUUGGGGAUAUUCUGUGUGACUGCUUGUGUGCUGCUCGAAGCCGUGACCGGAAAUCGCUAGAGAGCGCCAGACCCCCCGCGGGUGGAGGCCAGCAUGUGCUCACACCGAUAUGUAGCCACAGGAGUUCAUUUCCAGCCAUGAAGACCACUCCCCAAAGGUCCUGUUGCAGCUUAAAGGGUCAGGAAAAUAGGCCUCCCCAGAAAGGGCACUAAAACAAAGCAAACUCUUGUCUUUCUCUCCUACGAGGUGACAAGGGGGAUCAACAGGUGUAAAACACGACUGUCACAGCACCAUGGAGAAGGCGCACGAGGAAGCGUCCUGAGGUGGACAACAGACAGGAGCAAGAGGAGGGAGGACUGUGGGGCGAGGUCCAGCCUGGUCAUCAGAGAACUAGCUCCCCGAGCUCCAACAACCGAGAGAGCUCACUUCCCUCUGUGUCACUGUCAUCUACUCUCUGGUAAAGUACCACACGUUGUCCCAUUCUGUACUCACAGCAACCGUGUCGCCCAUACUACUUUCUUUCCUUGUAUAUCCAGGGGAUCAGAAAAUGCUAAUGGCGUCUCUCCCAACUUAGCACCCCUUGGAAUAAACUCCGCGAAGCAGAGGUACUCAUUCAGAGGAUCGGAUCCAACGCUUGAGAGGUUUUUGUAAAUCAAGUUGUGUUCCCAGAACUGCUGAUUGUGGUUUCUCCUUCUGCAGGGUUUUGUUACUUUUAAUUCUCUUAUUAUCCCUUGUCACUGGACCUCUUAAUUAUAAAUAGUAUUCUGAUACUGUGCCCUUUCACCCCAGGAGCCAUUCAUUGAUACCUGUGCUAUGGAUGCAGUUUCUCUCAGGGACGUUCACCCUAGGACCGUGCUUUUAUGCCAUAUUUACAAUGGGGCUUUUUAAUCUUAUUGCCCGAGUGGAACGUUUCCUUCCCGCAUACGAUUACAUCUCUGCUGAUUCACAAGGAGCAAGGUUAUAUGUUCCUCAUGCAGCCCUUGGCCGAAGAAGACCUGCUUCCAGGCUAUGAAAGACAAGAUCAUGUUGGAGUGGCCAGGUCAGCUCAAGUUCUGACCUGAGGAUCAACCCUAGGAUCAGACCUAAGCUCCCACAGUCCAUACCCUUGAGACAAUCAGUCAUGAAGAAUCUGGUGGGGACCCCCCCCCACUUGGAAUUACUGCCCUCUGUAGAGUGACCUCGUUCACAGACCCCCCAGCCUCUCUCCAGAACCUCUCCUUCUUGGCGGAUGCUUUCUCAGCCAGUCAUUAUUUAUGUUUCAGAUAGCUUGAGAAGAAAACCACAAAUACAGCCAAGUUGAAUUGGCAACCAAAGCCUGAUCAUUCUUACUGUCAGGUCAUAUCCAGGAAUGUCUUAGCACCAAGGUAUCCAUUGUCAGUCCAAGAGAUAUAAUUGCCUGUCAUGGCAGUAACAAAUCCUGACACGGAUUCAUGCAAUGGCCAACAAAAGAGACAGUCCCUUGUGACGAGGUGCUGGUACUUCCACUCUGAUGAAGAGUCACGCAACUUCCACUCCGGUCUUGUCCUCUCCAGAGCCCAGAUUACCUAAGGCUACCCUUCAUUAAGGAUUGAGAACUGAAAUCUUCAGCCCAACCCUCCGCUACUCUUUUUGCCUUUCUUGUAAGCCCAGGACUGUAUCUCAUUGUUUGCUGUUCCCUCCUUAACUAGCAAAGUACCUGGAAGUUGAUGGAACAAAUGGAUUCCUGCCUCAGUUCCUAGGAAUGUACCAAGGCCAUUUGCAUUCAGCAGUCUUGCCCUGAGAUAGCGCUGUGGCUGGUUCCCCAGGACCAGGGCACAGAUAUUUCACAGUCAACAGCGGGGGGUUACCAGGGUUUCACAGCAAGCCCUCCAUUGGAGGCAGACGUGAUGAGGAGACCAGCAAAGUGGCGGUCCUUCUGGCAGGAUGUGAAAACAAGAAGCGAACUGAUCAACACAAUUUUGCUUGGAAAGCAAAGCAUGUGCAGUAAUACGCACACCUGGGCGCAGCUGUCUUAAUGUGGCAGGGAUGCACAACAAACCGGGCAUCAUUUGGAGGGAGGGUAAUGAGGGACCAAGAGCAAGAAAACAAAGGAUGACUGCGCUCCGCGAAGGUCUCGACUCCCUUCUAAUUAGGCACAGUUGUUCUACGAAGUACGUAAUUAAUAAGCGUGUGACCAGAUGCGAAGUACAGCGGCGGCUCUUCCGGCGCUGGACGUGGUGAUGAAGUGUGCACAGCUGGAGGUAGUUGUUCUAAUUUGGCGGAGGCAGAAGGCCCGCCUGGAGUUUUGAGGAGGUGCAGUGAGAGCCGUACACCUGAAAGCAGCUCAUCCUAUUCCGACUGGGCCGGGGUGUAAUGAGAUGGAGCUAAUUAUCAGGAGUGUAAUGAGAUGCCAAAGCCCCUGGAGUUGAGCUGGAAAUUUCAAAGUGAGCUAAGCUGCAAACCCAAGAGAAGAAUUUCCACCGAUGGAGCCGGGUGUGAGUAGGAGGAAGUGUGCCUGAUUGAAAGACCUGCCUUCACGCCCCUGAGCCGAAGACUUCUGUCUGAAACUGCACAGGAUGCCAGGACCUUCCCCCACCUGGAGCAGGAGUCCCUGGGAACCUGAGAACACCAUGACCUGGAAAAGCUGCACAUGGAUUUCUUUUAAUGUGUAUAUGGUUUAUUUAUGUCCACACAACUGAAAAGAAAUCAAGUCAGGUGCUGUCGCGUGAGUGUCGUGGCCAUUAUAUUCCAUCUCAUUUAGAAAUGUGGCCUCAGAUUCCUGCUGACUUUGCAAAUAGAUACUCCAGGAGGAGAAAAAUUAGCAACCUCCUCAUCUCAAACUUCUUUCAUUACCUACCAGCCACAUUUUCUUUCACGAGGAUUUAUUUACCGCCAGAGAGCAGGAAACCCCUUAAUACCUGUUUUCUGUUCACGGUUUUUAUUUUACAGUUGCUGUUAUUUUAGACACCAUUUAUUGAACACUGAAUAUGUGUGAGAUGCUGUGCUAAAUGCUUUACCAUAGACUUCCAUUUAAUCCACAUGCUGGAGUUCCUCCCAUGGCUCAGCAGUUAACGAAUCUGACUAGCAUCCAUGAGGACCCAGGUUCGAUCCCUGCCCUUGCUCCAUGGGUUAAGGAUCUGGCGUGGCCGUGAGCUGUGGUGUGGGUGACAGCCUCUGUGCGGAUCCUGCAUUACUGUGGCUGUGGCAUAGUCCGACAGCUGUAGCUCCCAUUCAACCCCUAGCCUGGAACCUCCGCCUGCCGCAGAUGCGGCCCUAAAAAGCAAAAAGAAAAAAGAAAAAA